CCUACGGGAGGCAGCAGUGAGGGAUAUUGCACAAUGGGGGAAACCCUGAUGCAGCGACGCCGCGUGGGCGAAGAAGUAUUUCGGUAUGUACAGCCCUAUCAGCAGGGAAGAAGAAAUGACGGUACCUGAGUCAGAAUCACCGGCUAAAUACGUGCCAUCAGCCGCGGUCAUGCGUAUGGCGCAAGCGGUAUCCGGAUUUCCGGGGUUGAAAGGGAGCGCAGGGGACACGGCAAGCCUGCUGUGAAAGCCCGCGGCCCAACCGCGGGACUGCAUUGGGAACUACCGGGCUGGAGUGCCGGAGAGGUAGGCGGAAUGCCUAGUGUAGCGGUGAAAUGCGUAGAUAUUAGGAAGAACACCAGUGGCGAAGGCGGCAUACUGGACGGUGACUGACGCUGAGGCUCGAAAGCGUGGGGAGCAAACAGGAUUAGAUACCCGUGUAGUC
RNAcentral lists this ribosomal RNA (442 nucleotides) under uncultured bacterium. Its description in RNAcentral is "partial 16S ribosomal RNA". It matches the Rfam family "Bacterial small subunit ribosomal RNA", at positions 338 to 795 of the family's 1533-position model. The record is from RNAcentral.